This 480-nucleotide ribosomal RNA is filed under the name uncultured bacterium. RNAcentral describes it as "partial 16S ribosomal RNA". It matches the Rfam family "Bacterial small subunit ribosomal RNA", at positions 28 to 507 of the family's 1533-position model. The record is from RNAcentral.
GACGAACGCUGGCGGCGCGCCUAACACAUGCAAGUCGAGCGAUGAAAUUUUAACCGAUCUCUUCGGAGCGAAGAUAAAAUGGAUUAGCGGCGGACGGGUGAGUAACACGUGAGAAACCUGCCUUUCACAAGGGGAUAGCCUCGGGAAACCGGGAUUAAUACCCUAUGACACAUUUCCUUCGCAUGGAAGAAAUGUUAAAACUCCGGUGGUGAAAGAUGGUCUCGCGCCUGAUUAGCUAGUUGGUGGGGUAACGGCCCACCAAGGCCAUGAUCAGUAACCGGCCUGAGAGGGUGAACGGUCACAGUGGAACUGAGACACGGUCCAAACUCCUACGGGAGGCAGCAGUGGGGAAUAUUGCACAAUGGAGGAAACUCUGAUGCAGCGACGCCGCGUGAGCGAUGAAGGCUUUCGAGUCGUAAAGCUCUGUCCUAUGGGAAGAUAAUGACGGUACCAUAGGAGGAAGCCCCGGCUAACUACGUG